RNAcentral lists this long non-coding RNA (21543 nucleotides) under Zea mays. RNAcentral describes it as "long non-coding RNA (ZMAY_LNC002145)". Lineage: Eukaryota; Viridiplantae; Streptophyta; Magnoliopsida; Poales; Poaceae. The record is from RNAcentral.
CUCCUUGGUCUUUCUGCAAGUGCUGCUACGGCGACCAUUUUCCCGCAAUGCUCGCAAGCUCCUAUAGCUUCCCUUCUUCCCCCGUACCUCUCACCAGCGGUGUCUUCGGUAUGUGAAAACCCAAUUCUUCAACCCUACAGGAUCCAACAGGCAAUCACAGCUGGCAUCUUACCUUUAUCACCCUUGUUCCUCCAACAAUCAUCAGCCCUAUUACAUCAGUUACCUUUGGUGCAUUUAUUGGCACAAAACAUCAGGGCACAACAACUACAACAACUUGUGCUAGCAAACCUUGCUGCCUACUCUCAGCAACAGCAGUUUCUUCCAUUCAACCAACUAGCUGCAUUGAACUCUGCUUCUUAUUUGCAACAACAACAACUACCAUUCAGCCAGCUACCUGCUGCCUACCCCCAGCAAUUUCUUCCAUUCAACCAACUGGCAGCAUUGAACUCUCCUGCUUAUUUACAGCAGCAACAACUACUACCAUUCAGCCAGCUAGCUGGUGUGAGCCCUGCUACCUUCUUGAUACAACCACAGUUGUUGCCGUUCUACCAGCACGCUGCGCCUAACGCUGGCACCCUCUUACAACUGCAACAAUUGCUGCCAUUCAACCAACUUGCUUUGACAAACCCAGCAGCGUUCUACCAACAACCCAUCAUUGGUGGUGCCCUCUUUUAGAUUUCUUAUGAGUUAUAGUUCAAUAAUAAAGUUUUUUGUCUGAUGUUUGUGGCUUCCCAGAAAUAAGAAAGUACAUUUCUAGAUUCUUAUGUGCUUCUAGUCUCCAAAUGUGGUUGAUAGUUAUUUUGCUCUAAGAUCGACAGUAAUGAAGUAUAAAUCAUCGUUGUGGUGUGCUACUCGGUUAAUUGAGCAUUAACACACACAAACAUGACGAGGAUGGUAUAAUCUCCAAAAAUAUGUACUUUGUUAGGUGGGACCCUAUAGCCUUGCAUAAUGUGCUAUGUUAGGCAUGCCUGGAAACGUGUGACGCAUAUGUUUUGUGAACCUGUUGAUAUUAUAUGUGCUUUUAUAUUACCAUAUUUUAUUAAAAUACUAAUAUUUAUUACUAGUAAGAUAUAACAUUCUAUCUAGCUUAAAAACUAACCAUAAAUAUUCCAUAAUAACUAGAUUUACCAAACUAAUAUACUAAAUAUACAUAAUAAAUACAAAAUUAACAAGACAAUAAUCAAUAUUUAUGAGCUUAAUAUAUUUAGACAUUAUGGUUGGUCGACCAUAAUCAUGCUAACUUUUCGUACUUGCUUGAUUGUAAAUAUGCUUAGAAUAAUGCCUCUUUGUUCUACAUGGCAAAUAGGGACCAUUAUGGUGUAACACCCUGGGAACCACAAACACCCCGAAAUGCUACUAAACUACACAACUAACCUUCAUAUAUAAAAUUUCGACAGCAUCUCCUUUGAAAAUUUGCAUAAACGUGGAAGCAACAGAGUAUAAACAGAUAUCAUGAUAAGGAAACAUACUAGACAUUAAUAAUCUGCUAGAAAUGGGAAGAUAACCAUAACGACAUAAACUGAAUUAACUAGUGUGCACAACUUGUUUAAAACAAACAUCAUUGACAAGAAGUUUCUAAUUAAAUCAUGGCUGUGCCUGGGUAGCGUUAUUAUGAGAGUGAAGGUGGACGUGAUGCUACUUCCCUCAUUCCCAACAUGAAUCAAGUACCUGCAUUGAGUAAUGCAAGAGUGAGAUGAAAACAUCUCAGCAAGUAAAUUGUUUUGACGAGAUAUUUAAAGCAAAAAAAUUUGAUUUACUCAACAUUUUAAAGGGAUCACAAUUGAGAUCAGAAAUACUUGUAGAUAUAGAACUCAAUAGUCCCAAAAUAACCAGUGCCAUCUCAUUUCCUCAAACAACCACAAUAGGUUGUAUAACACUUCCCUGCGUCAUCAAUACCUGCAAAUAUCACUUCAAUGUAUGCAUAGGAAUGCAAUGUUUAAGUCCUCUGCAUUCAUACUUCUUAGAGUAUAAAACCACACCAUCUGCAAAUAUCACUUCAAUGAAUGCAUAUGAAUGCAAUGCAUAUGUCCUCUGCCUUCAUACCUCUAAGGGUAUGAAGCCGAAUCGUACCCCUCCUCGGGCAACGUACGAUGCUAAGUUGUACCGUUACGGUCGGACCAUAGGUCACGACAAAACUUCAUAUGCAAGUGAAUCAUGACAUGUAUAUGGCUUGCUGCAUUUAUCAAUAUACUUCACUUCCUUCAUAUACAAUACAAACCUCAAAUAAUACUUCGUUUACCUUCAGAUACAAUACAAACCUCAAAUAAUACUUCAUUCACCUUCAGGGGUGUUUAUUAAUCUCGUGGGUCAUACUCGAAUCAUCAUCAUCAUCAAUGAUGAUUAAGCAUCAGUAUAAUACAAUCAAGUAAAGCAUCACCAUAGAGUUCAAUUAUGAAAGAAUUCGAUGAUUCUGAAUAUUAGAGUGUAUGCGAUGAAACAACAACGUCAAAACGGUAGCAACCACCGCUACAUUCACUUGCCUUCAUCGAAGAAGAAAAACAUACUAGGCAUGAUUCAGAGUGUAGACACCUGCUGUGGGGCUUAAAACUUAGUACAAAUAUUCCACAAACAUUUGCCAACAAUUAACAAAUCGCUCCUACACUUGAAACCAAGACCCGGUGGAAUGACUCCCACCCUGAACCACAUGCCAAACAAUAGUAGUGUUGUUUGUUAAUUUUGUAUCUUUAAAAUUAUAACAGUGGUGAUAUCAAACAAAUACUCCAGAAGUUUCUACACAAAAUACUCUACAACUUUGGUAUUCAAUGGAUAAUUAAAUUUUGCCAUCUAUAAGUUCUAAAACAUCUGAUAAGAUAACUGACUGAAUUUGUUUCAGACAACAGCAUAGUUAACUUCAAAAUUCGAUAUCUCCCAAACUCCUCAACCAAAAAUUAUGAAAUUAUUCUGACAGUAAGAACUUUUUUCCCUCUACAAAAGUAUCUAUAGUUGGAAGAGCCAAUUCGGCCAUUUACUAGAUGAAACCUACCAGUUAACAGACCCGCUCAUUUUUGUCAGGCAAACAAGAACCCUUAUAUAUCAAAGAGUAGUGGAUUUGAAUUUGUCUAAUAUGAAGUUUAUGGGCUUGGAUCAUUUAAAGUAUUUUAUAAUUCUGAAAGACAAGAUUAAACUAACUAUGUAUGAUCCUUUAGCACUGUACAGAUGGUCGAUGGGACAGUUACAUGGUUUAUAUAGAUGGACCUAUCUAUAUUCCUUCAGUGGUUGAGAAAAAGGUAAAGGUGUGUCACACUCACGUGUGCGCCGCCUCUACCGAGAUGAGGCAUGGCGUUGCAAGGUGAGGCAUGGCAUGGUGCAGCACGAUCGUAUACAUGGUCGUGGCACAGUGUAGCACUGUUGUGGAUAGAUAGAUAAACUUUUGUUGUAGUUAGAGUGCAUGAGUUUUUGAAUGCAACACAAGAAUUUUCACAAUUUAACUUAAUUAAGAAGUUAUAUCUUGAUGACACAGAGUUACCUGACCAUUGAUCUCACAUGCCCUUUUAGCUCUCUCGUUCUCUAGACUCACCCUGACUAUUUAGGUCUCCUGACUCGCCAAUAUAAACACCAUCCUAUCAUUUGCUCUCGAAUACUUCUGUGUCACAACUCAACUGUCAGAUGAGUACUCCAUUACAGCACUGAGCAGGCCUCCGAAAUGAAUAUCUACUCAGAUGAAGGACGACAAUCGUGUUCUAGGGAAAUAUCGGUGACACAACUCCUUACUUCCUCCGCUUCUUCCUAGUGUUUUUUGUUGUGAUUGAGUCGACACAGCAACAACACUGCACUAUUACAACCAGUACGACUAUAUUAACUAGCAAUGUCUUCCUUAUAUGUUACUAUUUAUUUUGCUCAUAUUCAUUAUGUUUAAAUCACAUAGGCACCUUUUUGUUGGCAUCAAAAAAUUAGUAUCAACUUUCUAGAUUAAAGUGAAACUAAAAGUACCUAAAUUUCUAUCGGUGGGGAUCGAGUGAUUCUUUAAACCAAUUAUUACGCAAGUUAACCACACUAAAAUUAACAUUGGUGAACCGUGCCAUGAUUUUUUCUAAUGGAAAAUAGCCAAACCAAGCAACACAUAUGUGGCUAUCGUUACACAUGUGUAAAGGUAUUGCAUCACACCAUUGUCACCCAUGUAUUUGGACAAUACCGAGAGGAAAAACCACUUAUUUAUUGUAUUUUAUCAAGUUUGUCUUGCUUACGUAUAAAUUAUAACCCAACAAAGUAAUCACUAAAUGUCAAAACCAACUAGAUACCAUGUCAUCUCUACCUUAUCUUACUAAUAUUCUUUUUGCAAAAUCCAAAAUUAAUCUUGCACAAGCACAAGGACUGAGAUGUGUAUAAAUAUCUCUUAAAUUAGUAGCUAAUAUAUCACACAUAUUAUUGAGACCAACUAGCAACAUAGAAAGCACAAUAGUGUACCAACAAUGGCAGCUAAAAUAUUUUGCCUCCUUAUGCUCCUUGGUCUUUCUGCAAGUGCUGCUACGGCGACCAUUUUCCCACAAUGCUCACAAGCUCCUAUAGCUUCCCUUCUUCCCCCGUACCUCUCACCAACGGUGUCUUCGGUAUGUGAAAACCCAAUUCUUCAACCCUACAGGAUCCAACAGGCAAUCGCAGCUGGCAUCUUACCUUUAUCACCCUUGUUCCUCCAACAAUCAUCAGCCCUAUUACAGCAGUUACCUUUGGUGCAUUUAUUGGCACAAAACAUCAGGGCACAACAACUACAACAACUUGUGCUAGCAAACCUUGCUGCCUACUCUCAGCAACAGCAGUUUCUUCCAUUCAACCAACUAGCUGCAUUGAACUCUGCUUCUUAUUUGCAACAACAACAACUACCAUUCAGCCAGCUAUCUGCUGCCUACCCCCAGCAAUUUCUUCCAUUCAACCAACUGACAGCAUUGAACUCUCCUGCUUAUUUACAGCAGCAACAACUACUACCAUUCAGCCAGCUAGCUGGUGUGAGCCCUGCUACCUUCUUGACACAACCACAGUUGUUGCCGUUCUACCAGCACGCUGCGCCUAACGCUGGCACCCUCUUACAACUGCAACAAUUGCUGCCAUUCAACCAACUUGCUUUGACAAACCCAGCAGCAUUCUACCAACAACCCAUCAUUGGUGGUGCCCUCUUUUAGAUUUCUUAUGAGUUAUAGUUCAAUAAUAAAGUUUUUUGUCUGAUGUUUGUGGCUUCCCAGAAAUAAGAAAGUACAUUUCUAGAUUCUUAUGUGCUUCUAGUCUCCAAAUGUGGUUGAUAGUUAUUUUGCUCUAAGAUCAACAGUAAUGAAGUAUAAAUCAUCGUUGUGGUGUGCUACUCGGUUAAUUGAGCAUUAACACACACAAACAUGACGAGGAUGGUAUAAUCUCCAAAAAUGUGUACUUUGUUAGGUGGGACCCUAUAGCCUUGAUUAAUGUGCUAUGUUAGGCAUGCCUGGAAACGUGUGACGCAUAUGUUUUGUGAACCUGUUGAUAUUAUAUGUGCUUUUAUAUUACCAUAUUUUAUUAAAAUACUAAUAUUUAUUACUAGUAAGAUAUAACAUUCUAUCUAGCUUAAAAACUAACCAUAAAUAUUCCAUAAUAACUAGAUUUACCAAACUAAUAUACUAAAUAUACAUAAUAAAUACAAAAUUAACAAGACAAUAAUCAAUAUUUAUGAGCUUAAUAUAUUUAGACAUUAUGGUUGGUCGACGAUAAUCAUGCUAACUUUUCGUAAUUGCUUGAUUGUAAAUAUGCUUAGAAUAAUGCCUCUUUGUUCUACAUGGCAAAUAGGGACCAUUAUGGUGUAACACCCUGGGAACCACAAACACCCCGAAAUGCUACUAAACUACACAACUAACCUUCAUAUAUAAAAUUUCGACAGCAUCUCCUUUGAAAAUUUGCAUAGACGUGGAAGCAACAGAGUAUAAACAGAUAUCAUGAUAAGAAAACAUACUAGACAUUAAUAAUCUGCUAGAAAUGGGAAGAUAACCAUAACGACAUAAACUGAAUUAACUAGUGUGCACAACUUGUUAAAAACAAACAUCGUUGACAAGAAGUUUCUAAUUAAAUCAUGGUUGUGCCUGGGCAGCGUUAUUAUGAGAGUGAAGGUGGACGUGAUGCUACUUCCCUCAUUCCCAACAUGAAUCAAGUACCUGCAUUGAGCAAUGCAAGAGUGAGAUGAAAACAUCUCAGCAAGUAAAUUGUUUUGACGAGAUAUUUAAACCAAAAAAAUUUGAUUUACUCAACAUUUUAAAGGGAUCACAAUUGAGAUCAGAAAUACUUGUAGAUAUAGAACUCAAUAGUCCCAAAAUAACCAGUGCCAUCUCAUUUCCUCAAACAACCACAAUAGGUUGUAUAACACUUCCCUGCGUCAUCAAUACCUGCAAAUAUCACUUCAAUGUAUGCAUAGGAAUGCAAUGUUUAAGUCCUCUGCAUUCAUACUUCUUAGAGUAUAAAACCACACCAUCUGCAAAUAUCACUUCAAUGAAUGCAUAUGAAUGCAAUGCAUAUGUCCUCUGCCUUCAUACCUCUAAGGGUAUGAAGCCGAAUCGUACCCCUCCUCGGGCAACGUACGAUGCUAAGUUGUACCGGUACGGUCGGACCAUAGGUCACGACAAAACUUCAUAUGCAAGUGAAUCAUGACAUGUAUAUGGCUUGCUGCAUUUAUCAAUAUACUUCACUUCCUUCAUAUACAAUACAAACCUCAAAUAAUACUUCGUUUACCUUCAGAUACAAUACAAACCUCAAAUAAUACUUCAUUCACCUUCAGGGGUGUUUAUUAAUCUCGUGGGUCAUACUCGAAUCAUCAUCAUCAUCAAUGAUGAUUAAGCAUCAGUAUAAUACAAUCAAGUAAAGCAUCACCAUAGAGUUCAAUUAUGAAAGAAUUCGAUGAUUCUGAAUAUUAGAGUGUAUGCGAUGAAACAACAACGUCAAAACGGUAGCAACCACCGCUACAUUCAUUUGCCUUCAUCGAAGAAGAAAAAUGUACUAGGCAUGAUUCAGAGUGUAGACACCUGCUGUGGGGCUUAAAACUUAGUACAAAUAUUCCACAAACAUUUGCCAACAAUUAACAAAUCGCUCCUACACUUGAAACCAAGACCCGGUGGAAUGACUCCCACCCUGAACCACAUGCCAAACAAUAGUAGUGCUGUUUGUUAAUUUUGUAUCUUUAAAAUUAUAACAGUGGUGAUAUCAAACAAAUACUCUAGAAGUUUCUACACAAAAUACUCUACAACUUCGGUAUUCAAUGGAUAAUUAAAUUUUGCCAUCUAUAAGUUCUAAAACAUCUGAUAAGAUAACUGACUGAAUUUGUUUCAGACAGCAGCAUAGUUAACUUCAAAAUUCGAUAUCUCCCAAACUCCUCAACCAAAAAUUAUGAAAUUAUGCUGACAGUAAGAACUUUUUGUCCCUCUACAAAAGUAUCUAUAGUUGGAAGAGCCAAUUCGGCCAUUUACUAGAUGAAACCUACCAGUUAACAGACCCGCUCAUUUUUGUCAGGCAAACAAGAACCCUUAUAUAUCAAAGAGUAGUGGAUUUGAAUUUGUCUAAUAUGAAGUUUAUGGGCUUGGAUCAUUUAAAGUAUUUUAUAAUUCUGAAAGACAAGAUUAAACUAACUAUGUAUGAUCCUUUAGCACCGUACAGAUGGUCGAUGGGACAGUUACAUGGUUUAUAUAGAUGGACCUAUCUAUAUUCCUUCAGUGGUUGAGAAAAAGGUAAAGGUGUGUCACACUCACGUGUGCGCCGCCUCUGCCGAGAUGAGGCAUGGCGUUGCAAGGUGAGGCAUGGCAUGGUGCAGCACGAUCGCAGUCAUGGUCGUGGCACAGUGUAGCACUGUUGUGGAUAGAUAGAUAAACUAUUGUUGUAGUUAGAGUGCAUGAGUUUUUGAAUGCAACACUAGGAUUUUCACAAUUUAACUUAAUUAAGAAGUUAUAUCUUGAUGACACAGAGUUACCUGACCAUUGAUCUCACAUGCCCUUUUAGCUCUCUUGUUCUCUAGACUCACCCUGACUAUUGAGGUCUCUUGACUCGCCAAUAUAAACACCAUCCUAUCAUUUGCUCUCGAAUACUUUUGUGUCACAACUCAACUGUCAGAUGAGUACUCCAUUACAGCACUGAGCAGGCCUCCGAAAUGAAUAUCUACUCAGAUGAAGGACGACAAUCGUGUUCUAGGGAAAUAUCAGUGACACAACUCCUUACUUCCUCUGCUUCUUCCUAGUGUUUUUUGUUGUGAUUGAGUCGACACAGCAACAACACUGCACUAUUACAACCAGUACGACUAUAUUAACUAGCAAUGUCUUCCUUAUAUGUUACUAUUUAUUUUGCUCAUAUUCAUUAUGUUUAAAUCACAUAGGCACCUUUUUGUUGGCAUCAAAAAAUUAGUAUCAACUUUCUAGAUUAAAGUGAAACUAAAAGUACCUAAAUUUCUAUCGGUGGGGAUCGAGUGAUUCUUUAAACCGAUUAUUACACAAGUGAACCACACUAAAAUUAACAUUGGUGAAUCGUGCCAUGAUUUUUUCUAGUGGAAAAUAGCCAAACCAAGCAACACAUAUGUGGCUAUCGUUACACAUGUGUAAAGGUAUUGCAUCACACCAUUGUCACCCAUGUAUUUGGACAAUACCGAGAGGAAAAACCACUUAUUUAUUGUAUUUUAUCAAGUUUGUCUUGCUUACGUAUAAAUUAUAACCCAACAAAGUAAUCACUAAAUGUCAAAACCAACUAGAUACCAUGUCAUCUCUACCUUAUCUUACUAAUAUUCUUUUUGCAAAAUCCAAAAUUAAUCUUGCACAAGCACAAGGACUGAGAUGUGUAUAAAUAUCUCUUAAAUUAGUAGCUAAUAUAUCACACAUAUUAUUGAGACCAACUAGCAACAUAGAAAGCACAAUAGUGUACCAACAAUGGCAGCCAAAAUAUUUUGCCUCCUUAUGCUCCUUGGUCUUUCUGCAAGUGCUGCUACGGCGACCAUUUUCCCACAAUGCUCACAAGCUCCUAUAGCUUCCCUUCUUCCCCCGUACCUCUCACCAGCGGUGUCUUCGGUAUGUGAAAACCCAAUUCUUCAACCCUAUAGGAUCCAACAGGCAAUCGCAGCUGGCAUCUUACCUUUAUCACCCUUGUUCCUCCAACAAUCAUCAGCCCUAUUACAGCAGUUACCUUUGGUGCAUUUAUUGGCACAAAACAUCAGGGCACAACAACUACAACAACUUGUGCUAGCAAACCUUGCUGCCUACUCUCAGCAACAACAGUUUCUUCCAUUCAACCAACUAGCUGCAUUGAACUCUGCUUCUUAUUUGCAACAACAACAACUACCAUUCAGCCAGCUAUCUGCUGCCUACCCCCAGCAAUUUCUUCCAUUCAACCAACUGACAGCUUUGAACUCUCCUGCUUAUUUACAGCAGCAACAACUACUACCAUUCAGCCAGCUAGCUGGUGUGAGCCCUGCUACCUUCUUGACACAACCACAAUUGUUGCCGUUCUACCAGCACGCUGCGCCUAACGCUGGCACCCUCUUACAACUGCAACAAUUGCUGCCAUUCAACCAACUUGCUUUGACAAACCCAACAGCAUUCUACCAACAACCCAUCAUUGGUGGUGCCCUCUUUUAGAUUUCUUAUGAGUUAUAGUUCAAUAAUAAAGUUUUUUGUCUGAUGUUUGUGGCUUCCCAGAAAUAAGAAAGUACAUUUCUAGAUUCUUAUGUGCUUCUAGUCUCCAAAUGUGGUUGAUAGUUAUUUUGCUCUAAGAUUAGCAGUAAUGAAGUAUAAAUCAUCGUUGUGGUGUGCUACUCGGUUAAUUGAGCAUUAACACACACAAACAUGACGAGGAUGGUAUAAUCUCCAAAAAUGUGUACUUUGUUAGGUGGGACCCUAUAGCCUUGCAGAAUGUGCUACGUUAGGCAUGCCAAUGGAAACGUGUGACACAUACGUUUUGUGAAUCUGUUGAUAUUAUAUGUGCUUUUAUAUUACCAUAUUUUAUUAAAAUACUAAUAUUUAUUACUAGUAAGAUAUAACAUUCUAUCUAGCUUAAAAACUAACCAUAAAUAUUCCAUAAUAACUAGAUUUACCAAACUAAUAUACUAAAUAUACAUAAUAAAUAUAAAAUUAACAAGACAAUAAUUAAUAUUUAUGAGCUUAAUUUAUUUAGACAUUAUGGUUGGUCGACGAUAAUCAUGCUAACUUUCCGUAAUUGCUUGAUUGUAAAUAUGCUUAGAAUAAUGCCUCUUUGUUCUACAUGGCAAAUAGGGACCAUUAUGGUGUAACACCCCGGGAUCCACAAACACCCCGAAAUGCUACUAAACUACACAACUAACCUUCAUAUAUAAAAUUUCGACAGCAUCUCCUUUGAAAAUUUGCAUAAACGUGGAAGCAACAGAGUAUAAACAGAUAUCAUGAUAAGGAAACAUACUAGACAUUAAUAAUCUGCUAGAAAUGGGAAGAUAACCAUAACGACAUAAACUGAAUUAACUAGUGUGCACAACUUGUUAAAAACAAACAUCGUUGACAAGAAGUUUCUAAUUAAAUCAUGGUUGUGCCUGGGCAGCGUUAUUAUGAGAGUGAAGGUGGACGUGAUGCUACUUCCCUCAUUCCCAACAUGAAUCAAGUACCUGCAUUGAGUAAUGCAAGAGUGAGAUGAAAACAUCUCAGCAAGUAAAUUGUUUUGACGAGAUAUUUAAACCAAAAAAAUUGAUUUAAUCAACAUUUUAAAGGGAUCACAAUUGAGAUCAGAAAUACUUGUAGAUAUAGAACUCAAUAGUCCCAAAAUAACCAAUGCCAUCUCAUUUCCUCAAACAACCACAAUAGGUUGUAUAACACUUCCCUGCGUCAUCAAUACCUGCAAAUAUCACUUCAAUGUAUGCAUAGGAAUGCAAUGUUUAAGUCCUCUGCAUUCAUACUUCUUAGAGUAUAAAACCACACCAUCUGCAAAUAUCACUUCAAUGAAUGCAUAUGAAUGCAAUGCAUAUGUCCUCUGCCUUCAUACCUCUAAGGGUAUGAAGCCGCAUCGUACCCCUCCUCGGGCAACGUACGAUGCUAAGUUGUACCGGUACGGUCGGACCAUAGGUCACGACAAAACUUCAGAUGCAAGUGAAUCAUGACAUGUAUAUGGCAUGCUGCAUUUAUCAAUAUACUUCACUUCCUUCAUAUACAAUACAAACCUAAAAUAAUACUUCGUUUACCUUCAGAUACAAUACAAACCUCAAAUAAUACUUCAUUCACCUUCAGGGGUGUUUAUUAAUCUCGUGGGUCAUACUCAAAUCAUCAUCAUCAUCAAUGAUGUUUAAGCAUCAGUAUAAUACAAUCAAGUAAAGCAUCACCAUAGAGUUCAAUUAUGAAAGAAUUCGAUGAUUCUGAAUAUUAGAGUGUAUGCGAUGAAACAACAAAGUCAAAACGGUAGCAACCACCUCUACAUUCACUUGCCUUCAUCGAAGAAGAAAAAGGUACUAGGCAUGAUUCGGAGUGUAGACACCUGCUGUGGGGCUUAAAACUUAGUACAAAUAUUCCAUAAACAUUUGCCAACAAUUAACAAAUCGCUCCUACACUUGAAACCAAGACCCGGUGGAAUGACUCCCACCCUGAACCACAUGCCAAACAACAAUAGUGUUGUUUGUUAAUUUCUAUCUUUAAAAUUAUAACAGUGGUGAUAUCAAACAAAUACUCUAUACGUUUCUACACAAAAUACUCUACAACUUCGGUAUUCAAUGGAUAAUUAAAUUUUGCCAUCUAUAAGUUCUAAAACAUCUGACAAGAUAACUGACUGAAUCUGUUUCAGACAACAGCAUAGUUAACUUCAAAAUUCGAUAUCUCCCUAACUCCUCAACAAAAAAUUAUGAAAUUAUGCUGACAGUAAGAACUUUUAUCCCUCUACAAAAGUCUCCAUAGUUGAAAGAGCCAAUUCGGCCAUUUACUAGAUGAAACCUACCAGUUAACGGACCCGCUCAUUUUUGUCAAGCAAACAAGAACCCUUAUAUAUCAAAGAGUAGUGGAUUUGAAUUUGUCUAAUAUGAAGUUUACGGGCUUGGCUCAUUUAAAGUAUUUAAUAAUUCUGAAAGACAAGAUUAAACUAACUAUGUAUGAUCCUUUAGCACCGUACAGAUGGUCGAUGGGACAGUUACAUGGUUUAUAUAGAUGGACCUAUCUAUAUUCCUUCAGUGGUUGAGAAAAAAGUAAAGGUGUGUCACACUCACGUGUGCGCCGCCUCCGCCGAGACGAGGCAUGGCGUUGCAAGGUGAGGCAUGGCAUGGUGUAGCACGAUAGCAGUCAUGGUCGUGGCACAGUGUAGCACUGUUGUGGAUAGAUAGGUAAACUAUUGUUGUAGUUAGAGUGCAUGAGUUUUUGAAUGCAACACUAGAAUUUUCACAAUUUAACUUAAUUAAGAAGUUAUAUCUUGAUGACACAGAGUUACCUGACCAUUGAUCUCACAUGCCCUUUUAGCUCUCUCGUUCUCUAGACUCACCCUGACUAUUUAAGUCUCUUGACUCGCCAAUAUAAACACCAUCCUAUCAUUUGCUCUAGAAUACUUCUGUGUCACAACUCAACUGUCAGAUGAGUACUCCAUUACAGCACUUACGUACACGAGUUCUAUGAGAGCAGGCCUCCAAAAUGAAUAUCUACUUAGAUGAAGGACGACAAUCGUGUUCUAGGGAAAUAUCAGCGACACAACUCCUUACUUCCUUCGCUUCUUCCUAGUGUUUUUUGUUGUGAUUGAGUCGACACAGCAACAACACUGCACUAUUACAACCAGUACGACUAUAUCAACUAGCAAUGUCUUCCUUAUAUGUUACUAUUUAUUUUGCACAUAUUCAUUAUGUUUAAAUCACAUAGGCACCUUUCUAUUGGCAUCAAAAAAUUAGUAUCAACUUUCUAGAUUAAAAUGAAACUAAAAGUACAUAAAUUUCUAUCGGUGGGGAUCGAGUGAUUCUUUAAACCGAUUAUUACACAAGUUAACCACACUAAAAUUAACAUUGGUGAAUCGUGCCAUGAUUUUUUUUCUAGUGGAAAAUAGCCAAACCAAGCAACACAUAUGUGGCUAUCGUUACACAUGUGUAAAGGUAUUGCAUCACACUAUUGUCACCCAUGUAUUUGGACAAUACCGAGAGGAAAAACCACUUAUUUAUUGUAUUUUAUCAAGUUUGUCUUGCUUACGUAUAAAAUUAUAACCCAACAAAGUAAUCACUAAACGUCAAAACCAACUAGAUAUCAUGUCAUCUCUACCUUAUCUUACUAAUAUUCUUUUUGCAAAAUCCAAAAUUAAUCUUGCACAAGCACAAGGACUGAGAUGUGUAUAAAUAUCUCUUAAAUUAGUAGCUAAUAUAUCGCACAUAUUAUUUAGACCAACUAGCAACAUAGAAAGCACAAUAGUGUACCAACAAUGGCAGCCAAAAUAUUUUGCCUCCUUAUGCUCCUUGGUAUUUCUGCAAGUGCUGCUACGGCGACCAUUUUCCCGCAAUGCUCACAAGCUCCUAUAGCUUCCCUUCUUCCCCCGUACCUCUCACCAGCGGUGUCUUCGGUAUGUGAAAACCCAAUUCUUCAACCCUACAGGAUCCAACAGGCAAUCGCAGCUGGCAUCUUACCUUUAUCACCCUUGUUCCUCCAACAAUCAUCAGCCCUAUUACAGCAGUUACCUUUGGUGCAUUUAUUGGCACAAAACAUCAGGGCACAACAACUACAACAACUUGUGCUAGCAAACCUUGCUGCCUACUCUCAGCAACAGCAGUUUCUUCCAUUCAACCAACUAGCUGCAUUGAACUCUGCUUCUUAUUUGCAACAACAACAACUACCAUUCAGCCAGCUACCUGUUGCCUACCCCCAGCAAUUUCUUCCAUUCAACCAACUGGCAGCAUUGAACUCUCCUGCUUAUUUACAGCAGCAACAACUACUACCAUUCAGCCAGCUAGCUGGUGUGAGCCCUGCUACCUUCUUGACACAACCACAGUUGUUGCCGUUCUACCAGCACGCUGCGCCUAACGCUGGCACCCUCUUACAACUGCAACAAUUGCUGCCAUUCAACCAACUUGCUUUGACAAACCUAGCAGUGUUCUACCAACAACCCAUCAUUGGUGGUGCCCUCUUUUAGAUUUCUUAUGAGUUAUAGUUCAAUAAUAAAGUUUUUUGUCUGAUGUUUGUGGCUUCCCAGAAAUAAGAAAGUACAUUUCUAGAUUCUUAUGUGCUUCUAGUCUCCAAAUGUGGUUGAUAGUUAUUUUGCUCUAAGAUCAGCAGUACAACAACAACAACAACAACAACAACAACAACAACAAAGCCUUUUUGUCCCAAGCACGUUGGGGUAGGCUAGAGAUGAAACCCCGUAUGAAAACCUCAGAGCUCAACCCCCAAAGAACAGAAAAGGGAAACAAAGGCAAAGGAGAACCGAAAACAACGAAACGGGGAAACACAUAAAAGAGAUAAAACCCACAAGGACCAGCAAGAUCUAAAAUGGACACAAGAAAAGGUCAAACGAUUAAGGAGGAAAAGCGAAACUAUCAAUCAGGGUUCUGGCACGUGAAUUGCACACUUCCACCCCUUCCUAUCUGCGGCGAGCUCUUUGUCAAUAUUCCACUCCUUCAGGUCUCUCUUCACAGCCUCUGUCCACGUCAAAGUUGGUCGACCUCUACCUCUCUUCACAUUUUCGGGACGCCUAAUUAUUCCGAUAUGCACUGGUGCCUCUUCAGGUCUUCGUUGGAUAUGUCCAAACCAUCUCAAGCGAUGUUGCAUAAGCUUCUCCUCAAUUGGCGCCACUCCUACUCUCUCUCGUAUAUCAUCAUUCCGGACUCGAUCUCUCCUUGUGUGGCCACAUAUCCAGCGCAACAUACGCAUCUCUGCCACACUUAGUUGUUGGACAUGUCGUCUUUUAGUGGGCCAACAUUCUGCUCCAUACAACAUAGCCGGCCGGAUUGCUGUCCUGUAGAAUUUGCCUUUUAGUUUGCGUGGCACCCGGUGGUCGCAUAAGACACCCGCAGCUUGUCGCCACUUCAACCAUCCGGCUUUAAUUCUAUGACUGACAUCCUCAUCGAUGUCUCCCUCCUUUUGAAGCAUUGAUCCUAAGUAACGAAAAGUGUCUUUCUUGGGUACCACUUGCCCAUCAAGACUAACAUCGCCAUCCUCAUACCCCAUGGCACUGAAAUCACACUUCAUAUACUCUGUUUUAGACCUACUAAGCCUAAAACCUUUUGCUUCCAGCGUCUGCCUCCACAAUUCCAACUUUUGAGAAACACCACUCCUACUCUCCUCAAUAAGUACCACAUCAUCGGCAAAAAGCAUACACCACGGUAAAACUCCUUGUAUGUCCCUUGUGACCUCAUCUAUCACCAAAGCGAAAAGAUAAGGGCUCAAAGCCGACCCUUGAUGUAGUCCUAUGUUAAUUGGAAAGUCAUCGGUGUCUCCAUCACUUGUUCGGACACUUGUCACAACAUUAGUGUACAUAUCUUUAAUAAGAUUAAUGUACUUUGUUGCUACUUUGUGUUUUUCCAAGGCCCACCACAUUACACUCCUAGGUACUUUGUCAUAAGCCUUCUCCAAGUCUAUGAAGACCAUAUGCAGGUCUUUCUUUUGUUCUCUGAAUCUCUCCAUAAGUUGUCUUAGUAAGAAAAUGGCCUCCAUAGUUGAUCUCCCGGGCAUGAAACCAAACUGAUUUUGGGUCACGCUCGUCAUCUUUCGCAGGCGGUGUUCAAUGACUCUCUCCCAUAGCUUCAUUGUAUGGCUCAUGAGCUUAAUUCCACGGUAAUUAGUACAACUUUGAACAUCUCCUUUGUUCUUGAAGAUUGGUACUAAUGUACUCCGCCGCCACUCGUCGGGCAUUCUGUUUGCCCGAAAGAUGGUGUUGAAAAGCUUAGUCAGCCAUACUAUCGCUAUGUCUCCAAGACAUCUCCAUACCUCGAUAGGGAUACCAUCAGGGCCCAUCGCCUUUCCUACCUUCAUCCUUUUUAGCGCCUCCUUAACUUCAUAUUCUUGUAUCCUUCGUACAAAACCCCUGUUGUUGUCAUCGAAUGGUUCGUCCAAUUCUAUUGUAGCACUCUCAUUCCCUCCAUUGAACAAUUUGUUGAAGUACUCCUUCCAUCUGUUCUUGAUCUCUUCACUCUUCACUAAUAGUUGGUUUGCUUCGUCCUUGAUGCAUUUGACUUGGUUGACAUCCCUUGUCUUCCUUUCACGAAUCUUGGCCAUCCUAUAGAUAUCCUUUUCUCCCUGCUUUGUGUCCAGCCGUUGAUAAAGGUCGUCAUAGGCUUGACCCCGGGCUCUACUAACCGCUCGCUUUGCAGACUUCUUCGCUAUCCUGUACUUCUCUAUGUUUUCUGCACACUUGUCAUGAUGUAAGCGUUUGUAGCAAUCUUUCUUCUCCUUGAUAGCCUUUUGGACAUCUUCGUUCCACCACCAAGUGUCUUUAACUUCCCUUCUGUUCCCUUGACUCAACCCAAACUCUUCUGAAGCUAUCUUUCGGAUGCAUGUCGCCAUCUUCCUCCACAUGAUAUUUGCGUCUUCCUCUCCUGCCCAAGGGCCCUCCUCGAUAACUCUCUUCUUGAAAGUUUGGGCCACAUCCCCUUUAAGCUUCCACCACUUUGUUCUAGUGACCUUGUUAUGCUUAUUUCGUUGUAAACGAAUCUUAAAACGGAAGUCAGCAACGACAAGCUUAUGUUGGGUUACCACACACUCUCCAGGUAUAACCUUGCAAUCUAAGCAGGCAUGCCUGUCCUCUUUUCUCAAGAGGACGAAAUCAAUCUGGCUAGUGUGUUGGCCACUACUGAAGGUCACCAGGUGGGAUUGCCUCUUCUUAAAGAAAGUGUUUGCUAUAAACAUGUCAUAGGCUAGGGCAAAGUUCAGGAUUUCCUCUCCUUCUUGAUUCCUAGUCCCAAAGCCGAAGCCUCCAUGUACACCCUCGAAACUGGUGCUAGAUGUACCCACAUGGCCAUUGAGAUCUCCUCCUAUGAAGAGCUUCUCGCCAACUGGCACACUACUAACCAUGUCCUCUAGGCCUUCCCAGAACUCUCUCUUUGAGUUCUCAUUAAGGCCUACUUGAGGAGCAUACGCGCUGAUAACAUUGAGAACCAAGUCUCCAAUGACCAGCUUGACUAGGAUGAUUCUAUCUCCUACCCUCUUAACAUCUACUACCCCAUCUUUGAGGCUCUUGUCGAUCAAGACGCCUACUCCAUUCUUGUUUGUUGCAGUCCCCGUGUACCACAACUUGAAACCUGUACCUUUCACUUCCUUCGCCUUCUGUCCCUUCCACUUGGUCUCUUGAACGCAUAAAAUAUUUACCCGUCUCCUCACCGCAACGUCAACUAUUUCUCGUAACUUACCUGUUAAGGAACCUACGUUCCAACUGCCUACACGGACCCUAGUUGGCUCGACUAGCUUCCUUACCCUUCGCACCCGCCGAGGAAGAUGCAAAGACCCUUGCUCAUUUUUCACUACACCCGGGCGCCGAUGUAGCGCGCCACUAAGGAUGCGACGACCCGAUCCUUGCUCACUUAUCACCGGCUCCAGAUCAAGAGACAGCGCGUCACUUGAGGGGUGACGACCCGGCCCUUGCUCAUUUAACACCAUACCCGGGUUCCGAUAUGGCGCGUCGCUAAGAGGGUUACGCCCCAACGGUUUUCUUUGUGGUUUCAUCUCCAUAAGAUUUGGCUGGUUUUUUACGUUGGUUUGCCGGACCUAACACAACCCUCCUCCUUUACCGGGCUUGGGACCGGCUAUGUUGAAACGACUCAAGGAAGUCUUCCAAUCAACAUAGGCGGAGUUUAAGAUCAGCAGUAAUGAAGUAUAAAUCAUCGUUGUGGUGUGCUACUCGGUUAAUUGAGCAUUAACACACACAAACAUGACGAGGAUGGUAUAAUCUCCCAAAAUGUGUACUUUGUUAGGUGGGACCCUAUAGCCUUGCAGAAUGUGCUACGUUAGGCAUGCCGAUGGAAACGUGUGACGCAUACGUUUUGUGAACCUGUUGAUAUUAUAUGUGCUUUUAUAUUACCAUAUUUUAUUAAAACACUAAUAUUUAUUACUAGUAAGAUAUAACAUUCUAUCUAGCUUAAAAACUAACCAUAAAUAUUCCAUAAUAACUAGAUUUACCAAACUAAUAUACUAAAUAUACAUAAUAAAUACAAAAUUAACAAGACAAUAAUCAAUAUUUAUGAGCUUAAUAUAUUUAGACAUUAUGGUUGGUCGACGAUAAUCAUGCUAACUUUCCGUAAUUGCUUGAUUGUAAAUAUGCUUAGACUAAUGCCUCUUUGUUCUACAUGGCAAAUAGGGACCACUCUAGGAGACUAGGAUGUUGCUUGAGAUGAAAAUGUCAGAAUUGGUGUAGACUAAUUUCUAUCGGCCGCUGACUUCACUAUUGUAACCAUUAUAUCUUGGGUAAAUUAUAUACGAUUAUCCAGCCAAAGGGCCCAGAUGAUAAAAAACAAUUUUUAAUUGCUAUUUUAGGACAAAUGAAUUAGCAUGGUUCGAAGGAUUACGACCUUCCCCCCAUGACCUUUGUCAUACUGCUUUAGUCUAAUCGACAAAACCAAGAUUAGUUAUCAUCGAAGAAGUUCAUAAGCGAAGUUGUGACGAUGAAAGGAACAUGGUGGUAAUUGGACGAACGACGACACCUUUGUCUAAGAAUGGCAUCUAGAAGAAAUCUCAGACAAAAUAAGACAUGAAUGGCUUGUCAGUACAGCGCAAAUACUGAAACAUGCGCCCUUGAAUAUGAAACAUUUAUAUGUAAGAGGAAGGGAUAAAAAAACUAAUUACUCGUGCCUAAUGAUUUUAUUGGGAAUUUUAAGGCGAGACUUAUGGCAAAGGGUUAUACCAAAAAUAGGGGAGAGAUUAUUUCGAUACUUAUUCACUUGUUUCCCUUCAAAUGGCCAUACAUGUGUUACUUUUUUUGGCUGCCUCGCAUGGUCUUAUCGUUCAUCAGAUGAAUGUUAAGACUGCUUUCCCAAAUGGAGAGCUUAAGGAACAGAUCUACAUUGACUAGCCUAGUGGUUUUAUAUCAAAUGGUAAAGAGGAAAAGGUGUUUAAAAUAAUUGUUUGGUUUAAAACAAGCACCAAAGCACAUGAGAAAAUCGAUAAAGUUCUGACUUUGGCUAAAUUUGUUGUAAAUGAAGUUGAUAAAUGUGUCCAUUACCAGUUUGACAGGGGCGAAGGUAUGACCUUUUUAUAUGUGGACAAAAUAUUAACCUUUUGUAACGAUGUUAAUAUGAUAGAAGAAGUAAAGUAAUUUUUGUCUAGUAACUUAGAAAUAAACAAUCUGGGAGAGGCUAAUGUUGUUCUUAACAAAGAGAUGUUGAGAGAAGGAGGAAAUAGAGGGUUACUCUUGUGCAAUCCUAUUAGGUUGAAAAGUCGCUGAGUCGCUUUGGAUAUAGUGAUUACACGUCUGGUCCAACAACUUAUGACCCAAGUGUGUUAUUAAGGAAAAAUCAUAUAAUUGCAUAUGAUCAAUUGAGAUAUUGUCAAAUCAUGGUCUUCUCAUAUAUUUGGCAAGCCCAACGAUGUCUCAUAUCUGAUUUGUUAUGAGCAAACUCAGUUGCCUUGUCUCCAAUCUAGGGGAGGAUCAUGACAUGCCCUAGAGAGGGUAUUGCGCUUUCUCAAAGGGAUAUGAGUAAUGUCAUUUACUAUACUAGGCACCUAAGAGUACCAGAGUGUUAUAGUCAUGCAAAUAGGAUAUCUGAUGUUGAUUAGAUUUAUGCCACAAGUAGACUUGUGUGCUUCCUUGGAGGUGUGAUUGUUUCAUGGAAGUCUUGUAAGUAGACCAUCUUAACAAGGUCAACAAUAGAAGUAGAACUCACAACAUUAUAUACUACCAAAGUUGAAGUUGAUUGGCUCCGUGAACUCCUUACGGAUUUACCAGUAGUUGAAAAACCAAUACUGGUUAUCUCUAUGAGCUACAAUAAUCAAACAUUUGUAAUCGAAGUAAACAGUUCUAAAGUUAACAUGAUGUCUACAAAGCAUGUAAAAAUGGUUGAAACUGUUAAAACACUAAGAAACUCUAGAUUAAUUAUGUUGGACUAUAUCCAUACAUCGAAUUUGGUAUGCCAGUUUACAGAAGAUUUGUCACAUAAUAUGAUUCAAGGUGCAUCGAGGAAUAUGGGCUUGAGACCCACUUAAUGUCAAUCCAUAGUGGUAGCAGUUUCUAUGUGAUUGGAGAUCCCAUAAAGUAGAAUGGUGAAACAAGCUAGAGAAUGACUGAUGGAGAGACUCCUUAAAUAAAAUCUUGAUAAUUUGAGAUGCACAUUUCUCAUUUGAUGUAUUGUAGGCGAACUAAAAUCUUAAUAUGAUUUGAGUGACUUAUCUAAGCAGGGAUGUUAUCUUACAGAACAUCCUAGAAAGAACACACCUAUAUGAGUUUGCAUGUUAGUCAUAGUCUAUCAUGUGUGGUAAUCUUUAUAUACUCAUGAAAGGCUUGAAGUUUGACUUAUAUGCUUCAAACCAAGGGGGUGCUUGUAACAGUCUAGUACAAGAUAAGAACAUUGGUAAAACUCACUUAACGCAAAAUUGUCAAUUUAAGGCAUAGUUCAUUGUUUAGAUGUGAAUGUGUAAUCCCUGUUCUAGAUGGAUGGUCAACUUAACAGCCUCCACCAAAACCCUGAUAUCUCAAAGAGUAGUGGAUUUGAGUUUGUCUAAUAUGUGGUUUAGAUUUUGGUGGGGAAUUUUAAUAUUUUAUGGGCUUGGCCCAUUUAAGGUAUUUAAUACUUUCAAAAGACAAGAUUAAACAUGUGUGAAUAGUGUCAUGAUUUUUUUCUAGUGCAAAAUAGCCCAACAAAUCAACACAUAUGUGGCUAUCAUUACACAUGUGUAAAGGUAAUGCAUCACACCAUUGUCACCCAUGUAUUUAGAAAAUACCAAGAAGAAAAACAACUUGUUUAUUGUAUUUUAUGGAGAUUAUCUUGCUUACAUAUAAUUAUAACCCAACAAAGUGGUCACUAAAUGUCAAAACCAACUAGGUACCAGGUCAUCUCUAGCUUAUCUUGCUAAUGAUAUUUUUGCAAAAUCCAAAAUUAAUCUUGCACAAGCACAAGGACUGAGAUGUGUAUAAAAAUCUCUUAGAUUAGUAGGUAAUCCAUCACACAAAGCGCAAUAGUGUAGCAAAACUGGCAGUCAAAAUAUUUUGCCUCCUUAUGCUCCUUGCUCUUUCUGCAAGUGCUGCUAACGCGACCAAUUUUCUGCAAUGCUCACAAGAUCCAAUUGCUUCCCUUCUUCCCUCAUACCUCUCACCAGCGACAUCUUCAGUAUGUGAAAACCCAAUUCUUCAACCCUAUAGGAUCCAACAGGCAAUCACAGCAAGCAUCUUACCUUUAUCACCCUUGUUCCUCCAACAACCGCCAGCCCUGUUACAACAAUUACCUUUGGUGCAUUUGUUGGAACAAAGCAUCAAGGCACAACAACUACAACAACCUGUGCUGACAAACCUUGUUGCCUACUCUCAGCAACAAUAGUUUCUUCCAUUCAACCAACUGGCUGCACUGAACUCUGCUGCUUAUUUGCAACAACAACAACAACUUCCAUUCACCCAGCUAGCUGCUGCCUACCCCCAACAAUUUCUUCCAUUCGACUAACUGGCUGCAUUGAACUCUGUUGCUUAUUUACAACAGCAACAACUAAUACCAUGAAACCAGCUAGCUGUUGCGAGCCCUGCUAC